This 987-nucleotide ribosomal RNA is filed under the name Streptomyces albus. RNAcentral describes it as "bacterial SSU rRNA". It matches the Rfam family "Bacterial small subunit ribosomal RNA", at positions 30 to 1041 of the family's 1533-position model. The record is from RNAcentral. Lineage: Bacteria; Bacillati; Actinomycetota; Actinomycetes; Kitasatosporales; Streptomycetaceae.
CGAACGCUGGCGGCGUGCUUAACACAUGCAAGUCGAACGAUGAAGCCGCUUCGGUGGUGGAUUAGUGGCAUGACGUGGUAACACGUGGGCAAUCUGCCCUGCACUCUGGGACAAGCCCUGGAAACGGGGUCUAAUACCGGAUAUGACACGGGAUCGCAUGGUCUCCGUGUGGAAAGCUCCGGCGGUGCAGGAUGAGCCCGCGGCCUAUCAGCUUGUUGGUGGGGUGAUGGCCUACCAAGGCGACGACGGGUAGCCGGCCUGAGAGGGCGACCGGCCACACUGGGACUGAGACACGGCCCAGACUCCUACGGGAGGCAGCAGUGGGGAAUAUUGCACAAUGGGCGCAAGCCUGAUGCAGCGACGCCGCGUGAGGGAUGACGGCCUUCGGGUUGUAAACCUCUUUCAGCAGGGAAGAAGCGCGAGUGACGGUACCUGCAGAAGAAGCACCGGCUAACUACGUGCCAGCAGCCGCGGUAAUACGUAGGGUGCGAGCGUUGUCCGGAAUUAUUGGGCGUAAAGAGCUCGUAGGCGGCUUGUCGCGUCGGAUGCAGGCGGUUGGNGCUUAACCCCGGGUCUGCAUUCGAUACGGGCAGGCUAGAGUUCGGCAGGGGAGAUUGGAAUUCCUGGUGUAGCGGUGAAAUGCGCAGAUAUCAGGAGGAACACCGGUGGCGAAGGCGGAUCUCUGGGCCGAUACUGACGCUGAGGAGCGAAAGCGUGGGGAGCGAACAGGAUUAGAUACCCUGGUAGAACAGGAUUAAAACGUUGGGCACUAGGUGUGGGCGGCAUUCCACGUCGUCCGUGCCGCAGCUAACGCAUUAAGUGCCCCGCCUGGGGAGUACGGCCGCAAAACUCAAAGGAAGACGGGGGCCCGCACAAGCGGCGGAGCAUGUGGCUUAAUUCGACGCAACGUGUGGUUUAAUACCAAGGCUUGACAUACACCGGAAAGCCGUAGAGAUACGGCCCCCCUUGUGGUCGGUGUACAGGUGG